UGGGGAAUUUUGCACAAUGGCGGGAACCUUGAUGCAGCGACGCCGCGUGAGGGAUGGAGGCCUUCGGGUUGUGAACCUCUUUCGCUCGUGUGCAAGCCGCUAUUUGGGUAGUGGUGAGUGUAGCGGGUAAAGAAGCGCCGGCUAACUACGUGCCAGCAGCCGCGGUAAUACGUAGGGCGCGAGCGUUGUCCGGACUUAUUGGGCGUAAAAGGCUUGUAGGCGGUUUGUCGCGCCUGUCGUGUAAUCCUCUGGCUUAACUGGGGGUGUGCGGUGGGUACGGGCAAGCUUGAGUGCGGUAGGGGAGAUUGGAAUUCCUGGUGUAGCGGUGGAAUGCGCAGAUAUCAGGAGGAAAACCGGUGGCGAAGGCGGGUCUCUGGGCCGUUACUGGCGCUGAGGAGCGAAAGCGUGGGGAGCGAACAGG
RNAcentral lists this ribosomal RNA (421 nucleotides) under Fusobacteriota bacterium. RNAcentral's name for it is "Fusobacteria bacterium partial 16S ribosomal RNA". It matches the Rfam family "Bacterial small subunit ribosomal RNA", at positions 355 to 776 of the family's 1533-position model. The record is from RNAcentral. Lineage: Bacteria; Fusobacteriati; Fusobacteriota.